GCUACGGGUGGCAGCAGUGGGGAAUAUUGGGCAAUGGGCGCAAGCCUGACCCAGCAACGCGGCGUGAAGGAAGAAGGCUUUCGGGUUGUAAACUUCUUUUAAGGGGGACGAACAAAUGACGGUACCCCUUGAAUAAGCCACGGCUAACUACGUGCCAGCAGCCGCGGUAAUACGUAGGUGGCAAGCGUUAUCCGGAUUUAUUGGGUGUAAAGGGCGUGUAGGCGGGAGCGCAAGUCAGAUGGGAAAACUCAGGGCUCAACCCUGAGCCUGCAUUUGAAACUGUGUUUCUUGAGUGCUGGAGAGGCAAGCGGAAUUCCGUGUGUAGCGGUGAAAUGCGUAGAUAUACGGAGGAACACCAGUGGCGAAGGCGGAUUGCUGGACAGUAACUGACGCUGAGGCGCGAAAGCGUGGGGAGCAAACAGGAUUAGAUGCCCGUGUAGUC
Molecule: ribosomal RNA, 442 nt
Filed under: uncultured bacterium
Lineage: Bacteria
Description: partial 16S ribosomal RNA
Rfam family: Bacterial small subunit ribosomal RNA
Source: RNAcentral